Molecule: ribosomal RNA, 900 nt
Filed under: Weissella cibaria
Lineage: Bacteria; Bacillati; Bacillota; Bacilli; Lactobacillales; Lactobacillaceae
Description: bacterial SSU rRNA
Rfam family: Bacterial small subunit ribosomal RNA
Source: RNAcentral
UCUGAUUUGAAGAGCUUGCUCAGAUAUGACGAUGGACAUUGCAAAGAGUGGCGAACGGGUGAGUAACACGUGGGAAACCUACCUCUUAGCAGGGGAUAACAUUUGGAAACAGAUGCUAAUACCGUAUAACAAUAGCAACCGCAUGGUUGCUACUUAAAAGAUGGUUCUGCUAUCACUAAGAGAUGGUCCCGCGGUGCAUUAGUUAGUUGGUGAGGUAAUGGCUCACCAAGACGAUGAUGCAUAGCCGAGUUGAGAGACUGAUCGGCCACAAUGGGACUGAGACACGGCCCAUACUCCUACGGGAGGCAGCAGUAGGGAAUCUUCCACAAUGGGCGAAAGCCUGAUGGAGCAACGCCGCGUGUGUGAUGAAGGGUUUCGGCUCGUAAAACACUGUUGUAAGAGAAGAAUGACAUUGAGAGUAACUGUUCAAUGUGUGACGGUAUCUUACCAGAAAGGAACGGCUAAAUACGUGCCAGCAGCCGCGGUAAUACGUAUGUUCCAAGCGUUAUCCGGAUUUAUUGGGCGUAAAGCGAGCGCAGACGGUUAUUUAAGUCUGAAGUGAAAGCCCUCAGCUCAACUGAAGAAUUGCUUUGGAAACUGGAUGACUUGAGUGCAGUAGAAGAAAGUGGAACUCCAUGUGUAGCGGUGAAAUGCGUAGAUAUAUGGAAGAACACCAGUGGCGAAGGCUGCUUUCUGGACUGUAACUGACGUUGAGGCUCGAAAGUGUGGGUAGCAAACAGGAUUAGAUACCCUGGUAGUCCACACCGUAGACGAGGAGUGCUAGGUGUUUGAGGGUUCCCGCCCUAAGUGCCGCACCUAACGCAUUAAACACUCCGGCGGGGGAGUACAACCGGGAGGGUGAAACUUCAAAGGAAUUGACGGGGGACCCCGCCCAAGGGG